CCGACGGGUUCGGGCGACGCCAUACUCCGAACCUGGUCAGGGCCGGGAGGCAGCAGCCAUAAGGAGCCCCUGGCGGGCGCCCGUUCCCGUCUGGCG
Molecule: signal recognition particle RNA, 96 nt
Filed under: Candidatus Coprovicinus avistercoris
Lineage: Bacteria; Bacillati; Actinomycetota; Coriobacteriia; Coriobacteriales; Coriobacteriaceae
Description: signal recognition particle sRNA small type
Rfam family: Bacterial small signal recognition particle RNA
About the family: The signal recognition particle (SRP) is a universally conserved ribonucleoprotein involved in the co-translational targeting of proteins to membranes. Archaeal SRP consists of a 7S RNA and homologues of the eukaryotic SRP19 and SRP54 proteins.
Source: RNAcentral